This 1128-nucleotide ribosomal RNA is filed under the name Paraburkholderia nemoris. RNAcentral's name for it is "Paraburkholderia sp. LMG 31836 23S ribosomal RNA (partial)". It matches the Rfam family "Bacterial large subunit ribosomal RNA", at positions 409 to 1549 of the family's 2925-position model. The record is from RNAcentral. Lineage: Bacteria; Pseudomonadati; Pseudomonadota; Betaproteobacteria; Burkholderiales; Burkholderiaceae.
CAAGUAGGGCGGGACACGUGAAAUCCUGUCUGAAGAUGGGGGGACCAUCCUCCAAGGCUAAAUACUCGUGAUCGACCGAUAGUGAACCAGUACCGUGAGGGAAAGGCGAAAAGAACCCCGGGAGGGGAGUGAAAUAGAUCCUGAAACCGCAUGCAUACAAACAGUCGGAGCCUCGCAAGGGGUGACGGCGUACCUUUUGUAUAAUGGGUCAGCGACUUACAUUCAGUGGCAAGCUUAACCGAUUAGGGCAGGCGUAGCGAAAGCGAGUCCGAACAGGGCGUUCAGUCGCUGGGUGUAGACCCGAAACCAGGUGAUCUAUCCAUGGCCAGGAUGAAGGUGCGGUAACACGUACUGGAGGUCCGAACCCACUAACGUUGAAAAGUUAGGGGAUGAGCUGUGGAUAGGGGUGAAAGGCUAAACAAACCUGGAAAUAGCUGGUUCUCUCCGAAAACUAUUUAGGUAGUGCCUCGUGUAUCACCUUCGGGGGUAGAGCACUGUCAUGGUUGUGGGGUCCAUUGCGGAUUACUACGCCAUAGCAAACUCCGAAUACCGAAGAGUGCAAUCACGGGAGACAGACAUCGGGUGCUAACGUCCGGUGUCAAGAGGGAAACAACCCAGACCGCCAGCUAAGGUCCCCAAAUAUUGCUAAGUGGGAAACGAAGUGGGAAGGCUAAAACAGUCAGGAGGUUGGCUUAGAAGCAGCCAUCCUUUAAAGAAAGCGUAAUAGCUCACUGAUCGAGUCGUCCUGCGCGGAAGAUGUAACGGGGCUAAGCAAUAUACCGAAGCUGCGGAUGCACAUUUAUGUGCAUGGUAGGAGAGCGUUCCGUAAGCCUGCGAAGGUGCAUUGAAAAGUGCGCUGGAGGUAUCGGAAGUGCGAAUGCUGACAUGAGUAGCGAUAAAGGGGGUGAAAGGCCCCCUCGCCGUAAGCCCAAGGUUUCCUACGCAACGUUCAUCGGCGUAGGGUGAGUCGGCCCCUAAGGCGAGGCAGAAAUGCGUAGCUGAUGGGAAGCAGGUUAAUAUUCCUGCACCAUUGUUAAAUGCGAUGGGGGGACGGAUCGCGGAAGGUUGUCCGGGUGUUGGAAGUCCCGGUCCUUGCAUUGGAGAAGGCGCUUAGGCAAAUCCGGGCGC